RNAcentral lists this unclassified non-coding RNA (336 nucleotides) under soil metagenome. Its description in RNAcentral is "partial contains 5.8S ribosomal RNA, internal transcribed spacer 2, and large subunit ribosomal RNA". The stretch from base 1 to 120 matches the Rfam family "5.8S ribosomal RNA", at positions 35 to 154 of the family's 154-position model. The record is from RNAcentral.
GAUGAAGAACGUAGCGAAAUGCGAUACGUAGUGUGAAUUGCAGAAUUCCGUGAAUCAUCGAAUCUUUGAACGCACAUUGCGCCCCUUGGUAUUCCAUGGGGCAUGCCUGUUCGAGCGUCAUUUGUACCUUCAAGCUUUGCUUGGUGUUGGGUGUUUGUCUCGCCUUUGCGUGUAGACUCGCCUUAAAAUAAUUGGCAGCCGGCGUAUUGAUUUCGGAGCGCAGUACAUCUCGCGCUUUGCACUCAUAACGACAGCGUCCAAAAGUACAUUUUACACUCUUGACCUCGGAUCAGGUAGGGAUACCCGCUGAACUUAAGCAUAUCAAUAAGCGGAGGA